GGGGACUUGGUGGCGUUCGGGAUGCUGGGAUAGAAAAUUUACUCUGGUGCCUUGGCAGAAUCUGGAGUGCUGGGAUGGGGAAGUUCUUCAGAGAGCACUGAGGUCACGCAGCUGAGUUUUCCUCCUUGUCUUCAAGACACAGGAACUUGCAUUCAGCUACAAAACCGAGCGGGCUGCAAAUCUCAUCAUAUCAUAUGACUCCGAGCAGUAGCCUUAAAAUCAAUGGUAAACAUUAUAAGACACUAAAGAAAAUCAUGGGAACUUUUUCUUAUCUGAGUCAACACAUCCCCUGGUACCAACGUGAUGAAAUAGCCCCUGCCAGAUAUAAUCCUUCCUUUCUUCAAGGGUGAACCAAAUUGUGGACUGGCAGAUGCUCAAGUCACCAGCUUUAAUCACAAUUUAAUCACGAGUUCAAUCAGCAAGCUGGAAGUUUGAUCUUGCUAAGUCAUUUUCAGCUGAUUUCAUGUGUGCAACAUAGUUUCAUAAAAAGGUUAAUUCCUCUGGGUUGGUAAAUCUGUAUCUUGCAAUCAGUUGCCUUUAUAUUAAAUUCUAAAUUCUAAAUAUUAAAGUUGAUAUUAUUACAUAAGCCAGCUGAACACCUUGCUAGCAUCUAUAAAGCAAUAUGUAUCUUAACACAGAUUUACUUUGGCUCUAACAUUUUACUUUUUCUUAAAUUUCCUCGGCUGCUUUUGAAGAACCAUUUCCAAGAACUGGUUGCUGGAUAGCAAUUUUUCAUCUGGGAAUUGCCUCAGGCUCUUUUUGCCCAAGUAUUGCACAGCAUUUGGAGAACACACACACAAGACAUUUGAAGUAGGUGGAUAGUUCUUAAAAUUUCAUUUUCUGUGGAUAUCCUUCAAAUUAUUCAUCAAAGCAGACUGUGUGUAUAUGUGCAAAGGAAGGCUUUCCCAAGGCUCCCUCUCACCAGUUGUGCAUCCUGCACUCCUGCCAGCCAGUAGUGAUGGUUUCUCCCUGCUGCUCCACUCAGCAAUGGAAAGUUAUCUGAAGCCUUAUUUUCAGAUGCUGAAACUUUUACAAGAGAGCCCAGUAUGUGUGAAAACACACAGGCUAUAAAAGAGAGAAAGAGGAAAAAUCCUGAUUUCACCCCUUCC
This 1109-nucleotide long non-coding RNA is filed under the name Gallus gallus (chicken). RNAcentral describes it as "lncRNA (ENSGALG00010007779.1)". Lineage: Eukaryota; Metazoa; Chordata; Aves; Galliformes; Phasianidae. The record is from RNAcentral.